UUCCUAUUAUUUGUAUCUUUCAGAAGUAAUAUCAAUCAACAAAAGAUCAGUUUUUGCAGAACUGCAUGGGAAUUCUCUGGUUAGAAAAUGCUUGCGGAGUUGAACACUAUUAUCAUUGGAAAAUUUUUCUUCCUGUGUCUGAAAGUUGUCUUUCACAUGUGCAGUGCCACUCCAGCUUGGCUCCUCUGUACGCAGUUUAUCAUGGAUCUGAAUGCUUCCCAAGGUGACAUACAGUCAUACAGUGUUGAAGAACAUAUAGCUUCACUAAACAAAUCACAUGAUGAUAAAAUGAAGUAAAAGAAUCUCUUCUUGCCAUCUACUUUGUUUUUUAUUGUUUUCCUUUUUUAAUUGCAAGAGAUGGUGGAUUUACUUGUGGACAGAAUAUUGCUACAGCAAAGUUCAGGUCUCGGGGUGGCUGCCAGAACUCUCAAAUUUGCAGCAUUUCCACUUUUUUUUGUCUUUGCUCUUGAUGGUUUCAUUUUUACUUUCUAUUCUGAAUGACCAUUUUGCAGGUCAAAAAUCUGUUAAAGACAUAGAGUUUUAUCUUAUUCUGCAUCAAAAUAAAACUUGGAAAUUAAAUCGUUCUGAUAUAAAG
Molecule: long non-coding RNA, 595 nt
Filed under: Dromaius novaehollandiae (emu)
Lineage: Eukaryota; Metazoa; Chordata; Aves; Casuariiformes; Dromaiidae
Description: lncRNA (ENSDNVG00000011008.1)
Source: RNAcentral